This 260-nucleotide unclassified non-coding RNA is filed under the name Hevea brasiliensis (rubber tree). The record is from RNAcentral. Lineage: Eukaryota; Viridiplantae; Streptophyta; Magnoliopsida; Malpighiales; Euphorbiaceae.
GUCUGCCACUACUUGUUUAGGUUCCGUCAGCAACCCUUUGGAGGAAGCAUUACUUUUUGAGAUGUCUGCUAUAAAGAAAGAGAUUCGUGCUUUAGAGGACUCAAUUGCUGCCAAAGAAUUGGAUCUUCAGGAGGUUUCUGUUAGGAAGGAAUACAUGGGACAGGAUUCUGAGGGCAGACUCUACUGGACGUUUGGCAGGUCCACUUCUUCAAGAUUAGUAGCUUAUGCAAGUACAAGUACACAGCCGGAGUCAUCUGGAC